UACGUAGGGGGCAAGCGUUGUCCGGAAUCAUUGGGCGUAAAGAGCUCGUAGGCGGCUUGUCGCGUCGACCGUGAAAACUUGGGGCUCAACCCCAAGCCUGCGGUCGAUACGGGCAGGCUAGAGUUCGGUAGGGGAGACUGGAAUUCCUGGUGUAGCGGUGAAAUGCGCAGAUAUCAGGAGGAACACCGGUGGCGAAGGCGGGUCUCUGGGCCGAUACUGACGCUGAGGAGCGAAAGCGUGGGGAGCGAACAGG
RNAcentral lists this ribosomal RNA (253 nucleotides) under uncultured bacterium. RNAcentral describes it as "partial 16S ribosomal RNA". It matches the Rfam family "Bacterial small subunit ribosomal RNA", at positions 524 to 776 of the family's 1533-position model. The record is from RNAcentral.